Molecule: transfer RNA, 93 nt
Filed under: Candidatus Woesearchaeota archaeon
Lineage: Archaea; Nanobdellati; Candidatus Woesearchaeota
Description: tRNA-Arg
Source: RNAcentral
GCCCUCGUAGUCUAGCCUGGAUAGGACACGAGCUUGCGGAGCUUGGAACCGGAGUUCAAGACGGUGACAAUCCGGAAAGUCUCCGCGGGGGCA